GAUGAACGCUGGCGGCGUGCCUAAUACAUGCAAGUCGAGCGAAGCGGGGACGGGUGAGUAACACGUGGAUAACCUCCUAUAAGACUGGGAUAACUUCGGGAAACCGGAGCGAAACCGGAGAAUUAUAGAUGGAUCCGGGCUGCAUUAGCUGGUGGGUAAGGUAACGGCUUACAAAGGCAACGAUGCAUAGCCGGCCUGAGAGGUGGACCGGCCACACUGGAACUGAGCCACGUUCCAGCCUCCUACGGAAGGAAGCAGGAGGGAAUCUUCCGCAAGGGGCGAAAGCCUGACGGAGCAACGCCGCGUGAGUGAUGAAGGUCUUCGGAUCGUAAAACUCUGUUAUUAGGGAAGCGGUACCUAAUCAGAAAGCCACGGCUAACUACGUGCCAGCAGCCGCGGUAAUAC
This 405-nucleotide ribosomal RNA is filed under the name uncultured bacterium. RNAcentral describes it as "partial 16S ribosomal RNA". It matches the Rfam family "Bacterial small subunit ribosomal RNA", at positions 28 to 526 of the family's 1533-position model. The record is from RNAcentral.